UGUAGUUUUUUUGUCAUAGAUAUGACAGCUAUCUCUAGUAAAGCUAAUAGUUUUAUGGAUAGUAAUUAAAUUAAAAGACGGGAUUAGUUUAUCUUUUGGCUAUCCAAAGGGUUAAUUUUAUUUUUUGAAAGCUUCGGCUCUAAGCGAUUUACUCGCAUAAACUUCCAUACAAGAUACAGAUGAUGACUAUUUUUGUAUGACAGUCUUGGCCAAAACACGUGCCAGCAGCCGCGGCAACACGGGAUUAGACGAGUGUUAUUCAUCUUUAAUAGGUUUAAAGGGUACCUAGACGGCAGAUUCAGCCCCCACUGAGUUGGAACGGAACUUUUCUGCUAGAGUUUUAUGUGAGAGGGAUUUAGUACUAACAGAGUAGAGAUGAAAUUUUUUGAUACUGUAGGGCACUGAUAACGGCGAAGGCAGACCUUUAUGUAAAAACUGACGUUGAGGGACGAAGGCUUGGGUAACAAACAGGAUUAGGUACCCUAAUAGUCCAGGCAGAGACUGAUGAGUGCCAUAGAUUAGAAAAUAUUUGGUCUAUAAAUGAAAGUGAAAGCAUUCCACCUUAAGAGUAAUGCGGCAACGCAGGAACUGAAAUCAUUAGACCGUUUCUGAUACCAGUAGUGAAGUAUGUUGUUCAAUUCGAUGAUCCACGAAAAAUCUUACCACAAUUUGAAUAUUGUAGCAACUAUAGGAAAGUCUGCGUAGCAGAAUGCAAGUGCUAUUUAUACAGGUGUUGCAUGGCUGUUUUUAGUUGGUGUCGUGAGAUGUAGGUUAACUCCUAUGUAAUCAACGUGAACCCUUACUCUAUUUUAUUGAUAAGUGUAUACAUAGAGUCGAUGUCUGAUACGUCGGACAAACAGUAGGGAUCAAGACAAGUCCUCAUGGCCCG
Molecule: ribosomal RNA, 889 nt
Filed under: Coniocarpon fallax
Lineage: Eukaryota; Fungi; Ascomycota; Arthoniomycetes; Arthoniales; Arthoniaceae
Description: mitochondrial SSU rRNA
Rfam family: Bacterial small subunit ribosomal RNA
Source: RNAcentral